GAUUUGGUCGGGUGGUCCGCUUAACGGCGUGUUACUGCUUGGCUGGGUCUUGUCUCUUGGUGAACCAUUGUGCCCUUUAUUGGUGUGCUUUGGGGAACCAGGACUUUUACCUUGAAAAAAUUAGAGUGUUUAAAGCAGGCACACGCUUGAAUACAUUAGCAUGGAAUAAUAGAAUAGGACUGCGGUUCUAUUUUGUUGGUUUCUAGGACCGAAGUA
RNAcentral lists this ribosomal RNA (216 nucleotides) under uncultured fungus. Its description in RNAcentral is "partial small subunit ribosomal RNA". The stretch from base 48 to 216 matches the Rfam family "Eukaryotic small subunit ribosomal RNA", at positions 693 to 864 of the family's 1831-position model. Lineage: Eukaryota; Fungi. The record is from RNAcentral.